This 253-nucleotide ribosomal RNA is filed under the name uncultured bacterium. Its description in RNAcentral is "partial 16S ribosomal RNA". It matches the Rfam family "Bacterial small subunit ribosomal RNA", at positions 524 to 776 of the family's 1533-position model. The record is from RNAcentral.
UACGAAGGGGGCUAGCGUUGUUCGGAAUUACUGGGCGUAAAGGGCGCGUAGGCGGCCUGUUAAGUCAGACGUGAAAUCCCUCGGCUCAACCGGGGAACUGCGUCUGAUACUGGCGGGCUUGAAUUCGGGAGAGGGAUGUGGAAUUCCAGGUGUAGCGGUGAAAUGCGUAGAUAUCUGGAGGAACACCGGUGGCGAAGGCGGCAUCCUGGACCGACAUUGACGCUGAGGCGCGAAAGCCAGGGGAGCAAACGGG